CACGUAGGGCGCGAGCGUUGUCCGGAAUUAUUGGGCGUAAAGAGCUCGUAGGCGGCCUGUUGCGUCCGCUGUGAAAGCCCGGGGCUUAACCCCGGGUCGGCAGUGGGUACGGGCAGGCUAGAGGUAGGUAGGGGAGAAUGGAAUUCCCGGUGUAGCGGUGAAAUGCGCAGAUAUCGGGAGGAACACCGGUGGCGAAGGCGGGUCUCUGGGCCGAUACUGACGCUGAGGAGCGAAAGCGUGGGGAGCAAACAGG
This 253-nucleotide ribosomal RNA is filed under the name uncultured bacterium. Its description in RNAcentral is "partial 16S ribosomal RNA". It matches the Rfam family "Bacterial small subunit ribosomal RNA", at positions 524 to 776 of the family's 1533-position model. The record is from RNAcentral.